This 890-nucleotide ribosomal RNA is filed under the name Thularion stanisici. RNAcentral's name for it is "partial 16S ribosomal RNA". The stretch from base 431 to 624 matches the Rfam family "Archaeal large subunit ribosomal RNA", at positions 1801 to 2102 of the family's 2987-position model. Lineage: Eukaryota; Metazoa; Mollusca; Gastropoda; Stylommatophora; Helicarionidae. The record is from RNAcentral.
AUAUAAUAAAAUUACUGUAAAGAAAAUUAAAUUUUAAGUUGGUUAAUACCUUUUGCAUAAUGGUUUAAUAAUAAUUAUUAAGUAUUUAAUUUCCCGAAAUUAGAAGAUCUAAUUUUAUUAAAAAUUUAGAUGUAAUAUGAUAUAAUGUUUCAAAAUUAUAAAUAUAAAUAAAAUUAGGGGUGAAAGGCCUAUCAAUUCUAAAGAUAUCUGGAAUAAUUUAAAAUGUAUUUAGUACAAAAUAAAAUUUGAGUAAAAAAAUGUUAAGGUUUUUUUAUAUUAGAAUAAUAUUUAAUUUUAUAUUAUGAAUUAACCUUCUCAUAGCUAAUUCUAUUAAUAAUUUAAGAAUAAAAAUAUCUAAAAUUUAAAAUUAUAAACAUAGUAACUUUUAAUUUUGUAAAUUAUGUUAAAAUUAGUAUAAUGUUUUUAUUUUUUAAAGGAACUCGGCAAAUUUAUUAUUCAUCUGUUUAUCAAAAACAUAGCUUUAUGUAUUAUAUAUAAAGUGAAACCUGCCCACUGAUUAUAAUUUAACGGCCGCAGUACCUUGACUGUGCUAAGGUAGCAUAAUAAAUUGACUUUUAAUUGGGGCCUUGAAUGAAAGGAUAAAUGGAUAAUUUCUGUCUUUAAUAAACUUCUUAUAAUUUACUUAAAAGGUGAAAAUUCCUUUAAUUUAAUAUAAUAGACGAGAAGACCCUAGGAGUUUUAAAUUUUGUUGGGGCGACAGUAUAACAUUAAAAUUAACUUAUACAUAAAGUUAGUUAAAAUUAAACGAAUAGUUUUAAUAAUAAAUAAACUACCCUAGGGAUAACAGCAUAAUUUUAGAGAAAGUUUGUGACCUCGAUGUUGGACUAGGAACUUUUAAAGCUAACAGCGUUAAUUGUAGUUCUGUUCGA